Molecule: small nucleolar RNA, 107 nt
Filed under: Huiozyma naganishii CBS 8797
Lineage: Eukaryota; Fungi; Ascomycota; Saccharomycetes; Saccharomycetales; Saccharomycetaceae
Description: Kazachstania naganishii CBS 8797 Small nucleolar RNA snR73
Rfam family: Small nucleolar RNA snR73
Source: Rfam by way of RNAcentral
GUUUAUGAUGAUUCUAUUUUAUCACGACGGUCAACUGUGUUUGGCUCAAUGUUUAGAGCCAAACGUUGAUGAUACCAGCCUGUGACAGGGCGUUUAGACAACUGAUA